Molecule: unclassified non-coding RNA, 243 nt
Filed under: Hevea brasiliensis (rubber tree)
Lineage: Eukaryota; Viridiplantae; Streptophyta; Magnoliopsida; Malpighiales; Euphorbiaceae
Source: RNAcentral
GGGCAUAUAAGAAAGUUCAGCUAAUAAAAAGUUCAUGGAGCAUUAAAUUAAAAUUAACAGUCUAAUAACAUGAGGAAUUUUUAACCCAUCAAAUUGGGAUUUAGUCUUCUGUAAAGUCACACAAUGUACAACAAGUACAACUCCCCUCUACAUUGCAUCAUCUAAAAAACAGAAAAGAGAGACAUACACGUGAUAUUUUAGAUCUUGCUGAGAAACUCAGUGCCAAAUGUGCCAACCAAAGAU